This 2615-nucleotide long non-coding RNA is filed under the name Equus caballus (horse). RNAcentral's name for it is "lncRNA (ENSECAG00000035340.2)". The record is from RNAcentral. Lineage: Eukaryota; Metazoa; Chordata; Mammalia; Perissodactyla; Equidae.
GGAGCCGUCUGCUGGGGGCCGGAAGGACACACGUGGUCUUCCACGGCCUGCAGUACAGCACUCUGUCACUGCUGUCACAGGCAAUGCAAGUCUUACCUGAAGCUGAGAUAAUGGCCACGAAGGCUGCAGCUUCCAGUCCUGAGGGCAGCCCCUGGGAAGUGGAAUGGAGCAUUUCCCCAGGCCCUGCCUUGAUUUUCAUGCAAGAAAGGCCAGCAUUUCCGUUUCCCCAGAUGCCAGCAGGCCAGGAGCUCCUCUGUACCCCUCCCUCUUCCUCCAGGUCUUGUCUCUUCUCAGAUGGGAACAGAUGCUGAAACACGCACACACACAUGCAUGCACAUGCACACACUCCCUCCAUGUCCUCCCCCAGAUCUUAUCUGCUCUGACCCUCUGGCCACCGCACAUGGAGAGAAGGUGUUCCACCUUUGGGCGUGGAGGGCAGGCACGAAGAAGACGUUUUCCUCUUCCCUCCUUACCAAGAGCAGUCUCUCAGCAACCCCGACAUAAUCCAAGUGCUUUGAGGGGAAAAGCAGCUCCUAUAGCUUUCUGGUCCCUCAUGGUGCCUUGGACAAGACGCGGCUACAUAAACAGCAUGUGAGAACUGGAAGGAACCUUAGAGGCUUGUGAUGGCAGGACCAUCGGGAGUUUACAGAGGAGGGACUGGGGCCCAGAGAGGAGUCUUCUCCAGCCGUCCGGCUGGUCUCCGGUGGAGCCUGGUCCAGGGCCCCGUCUCCAGUGGAGGUGUCGGGUAGCCAAAGCCCUAGGGAAGGGCUGCCUUUCCAGGAACACGUGUAAGCCCCCGGGAGCUUGUUACUUGACAAGAGCCUGGAGAAGCCAGUGACAGCUCCGAGGCCCACCUCUGCUCACCACAAGAUGGCAACAGAGCUUUGCAGGAGCCCCAGCUUGGGGGCUGGUGUCCAGCGCUCUCUGAGGACUGGACCUCACAUCCCUAACCCUGGUGGUCUGAGCACUCCUUCCAUAUCUUCAGGCCAGGCUGAGGGUUCCUUUGCUGUAGGCCUGCACAUGUCUCUCCUUGCUGUUUUAGUGCCUUCAACUCCAUGCUGACUUGCACCUGUUGACUGGUUCUGUCCCUUUUGGCUCUUCUGGUGAGGCAGGAGGACACAGUUCUACUCACAGGACUCUAACAAGGAGAAGAGUUUAAAGUGGCUUUUCCACCUGGAAGCAAUACUGCUUGAAUCGCGCACCCUUUCUCCAGCACUCACCAGGCCCCUUUCUCCCCUGCGCUCUUCAGCAUCCUUCCCAUGGAGCCAUGCCUGGCUGCGGUGGUCCCACUGGAGUGGCAGCUCUGGGAGGAGGGGAUGCUUGUGAGAUGGCCAACCAGGGUGUCCACUGAGGAAUUUGUUCCCAUGCUGAUCAAACAGUAGUUAUCACUCCAAAUUGGUCCUGAAGGCUGGGGUGCCAAGGGAGGCAAGAGCAAAACAGAACAAGAUGCUGUGCCUUUCAGCUCUGCCCUGGACAAAGUCCGGGUCCUGGCAGGAGGUUGGCUCACUUAUAUAAAAAUGAACAUCUACCCAUCAGAAGCAUGGUUCAAGACCCUCUGCAUGCAGCCUGAAAGAUAGACUUCGGGGACGGCUCUGUGGUCAAGGGCAAACAUCAAAUGUAUUUUUUAUUGACUGUUUAAGGACAAAAACAAUAAAAAAUACACGUGUGCUAGAUGAGCUUCGUUCAGGUGUGAGUUACAGAGCUGUCGGCUGUGAGUUCAAUGUCAACGGAUCGGUGAUCUACACUAAAGCAGAGCGCCAGCACCGAAGAUACUCCUUGGUAAAAGUCACAGAAGUCCCUCUCACCUACUGCUCCACGGUGGCCCUUGUCACAGAAGUAGGCCAGGAGAGCGGCCCACACUGUCCAAUCCUGUGGAGAUGUUGAGGAGGAAACCACCUGGAAAUGGGCCUGCUUUGCUAAGGGUCCAAUCCAGGAUCCCACAUUUAGCAAGUUUGUUUUUAGAAAAUAAACUGUGGCUGUGGUAGGCAGAGUGGACUGGAGAGGCCUGGGUCUGGAGGCCAGAGAACCUGAGAGCAAGCUGGGCAGGAGCCUGGUGGGAGAUAUCGGGGGCAGGAAUUCCAGCUGUUGCAGAAGAGGAGAGAGGAGGGGUAAUAUGGCCCCGAAGAUUAAGGGACUCUAGGGUUGACAAGUGAAGUCAAAACGUUAUCACGUGUUGCUUGCUUCUACAUUUUAUGCAGUCCUCUAGGCGGCAGAUAAUUAUUGAGCACCUACCAGGUGGCAGGCACCAAUGUUCUCCGGACACAUGGCUAUGGGUUCCACCUGCCACCCUCACACGUCUCCAACUCUAGCCUGGUUUUCCCAUUUCACAGCCAACUUCCGCUGCCUGUGAGUAUGCUAAAACCAAACUCCGCUCCUUAAAAGAAGUCCAACACUGAAAGAAUUUUCACAGCCUGUCCUUCCUGCUGCCAAGAAUAUAUAUUACCAAUUUCCAGUGGAAGCUCAAAUGUCCCUUUGUAAUAACCUAGCCUCUGAGCGCUAAGUUUGAGGGGUCACCACAAGUUGGGAGUCACCUAGGGACUGACUGCCAUGCUGCCCAGCGAGAGGUCGAGGGGGAGGCCGGUGUGAGGUGGUAAUGGAGUUUGAGACCCAGGGGG